AGAGCAAGACUAGUUUCAAAAAAAAAAAAAAAAAAAAAAAAAGAAGGCUCUCCAACAACAAAGCCAGGCUCUUUUCUCCAGGCUACAUCACUUCUCCAUUUAGAGGUGACUUAGGUCCAGUGUAUGGGGGACUGAGACAUGUAGUGAUAGUGUAGGAAUGUGGAAUUGAUCCAGGAG
Molecule: long non-coding RNA, 177 nt
Organism: Sapajus apella (tufted capuchin)
Lineage: Eukaryota; Metazoa; Chordata; Mammalia; Primates; Cebidae
Exons: 3
Source: RefSeq, a predicted model, not a curated record